CGAUUCAAGUAUAGAGUUUGAGGCUCGACAGGUCGUCUGGAUGCGGGGGCGAAUGAGACGAGAGAUGCUGGGAACGGGAGAGAGCGUGACAGGAGGUUGAGCUCUCUUCGGAGAGGCGGAGAGAGAGAGACAGGACCACGAAGAGCAGGGAAGGCUCUUCCGUGGGCAGGCAGCCAGAUAGGCCGGCUAGCUGCCCGGGCACGGGUCGCUUCCGCCGUUCAAUCAGUUUGCCCCUGCUCACAGUUCUCUCUUUUCGCCUUUUCUUUUGCUUUUUCCCCCCUUUUCCUGAGUUUCUGCCUUUCCCUCGCGAUCGCGGCGAGCCUACCGAACGUGAUUUUGAAAUUUUGGUGAUGACAAUCCGGAUUUGACCUUGACGCAAGAACCUCCGUCAAGGCUAGUGGGAACUCUGGAGGAAACAAUGAAAGUAUCUGUGCAUGGAAUAUUCGAAGAAAUGGAAAAUCCCCUUGCCAAACAAAUUAGCAAUUAACAUAUUAAUUUUUUUAAUGGAUCCUACUUGGUAGCUAUAAAAAGACGAAGAAACUAUUGAUUGAUAAUACAGCGGCAAAUCAGUGUAGAGAAUGAAGGAGACAUCCUCAAGAAUUCGUCCUUAUUUGGAUCUGGAUAAUGAAGAUAAAUAUUCAGUGGCAAAUAGCCAAGCGUCCUUGCAGGAUAGCGAAGACGAACAUCCAGAACGUGGAACUUGGACAGGAAAAUUCGACUUUCUGUUGUCUCUUCUGGGAUACAGUGUAGGUCUUGGAAAUGUCUGGAGAUUUCCGUAUCUCUGUUAUUCAAACGGCGGCGGAGCUUUUCUGAUACCAUUCACCGUAAUGCUCGUUAUAGCUGGAUUACCGCUUAUGUUUAUGGAGCUUUCUUUAGGGCAAUAUGCUAGCCUUGGACCAGUGGCGGUCUACAAACAAUUCUGUCCUCUGCUUCGCGGUUUAGGAUAUGGAAUGGUCCUCGUUAGUUCCGUUGUUAUUCUUUAUUAUAAUUUAAUCAUCGCCUGGACGUUGUAUUACAUAUUUGCUUCAGUCGUAGGUGGUUGGGAAUUGCCCUGGAGCAAAUGCGAAAAAGAAUGGAGUACCGAGGAUUGCUUUAUGCCAGACACUGCCGAGGCUUGUGUUUCCCAAAACUUUUCUUACUUUAAAGGAAAAUGUCUCAACUCAACGCAAAUGAGUGCGAUGGGCCUGAUGAUCGGAAACAUAACCAGUGCUAUCAAAAAACCGCCAGCCGAGGAGUACUUUAACAAUCAUGUUUUGGGGAUUAGUAGCGGGAUCGAAGAAACUGGAUCGAUUCGACUGCCCAUAGCGAUUAGUCUUAUUCUGGCGUGGAUUAUCGUGUUUCUUUGUCUGAGCAAAGGCGUUCAAACUUCAGGCAAAGUCGUAUACUUUACUGCGUUGUUCCCAUACGUUGUUCUGAUCGCGCUUUUCAUACGAGGAAUUUUAUUACCCGGUGCUAACGAAGGAAUAUUGUUUUAUCUAACUCCGGACUGGCGAAGACUAAUGUCUGCCAAAGUCUGGGGAGACGCAGCAGUGCAGAUAUUUUUCGCUUUGAGUCCAGCUUGGGGAGGCUUGAUCACAUUGAGUUCGUACAACAAGUUCACCAACAAUUGCUACAAAGACUCUUUAAUCGUGGCAAUCAGCAACAUUGGGACUUCAUUUUUCGCCGGCCUGGUAAUUUUCUCAGUGAUUGGUUUCCUUGCUCAUGAGCUCGAUGUGCCGGUAGCUUCAGUGGUGGAUCAAGGUGCUGGUUUGGCCUUCAUCGUUUAUCCGGAGGUUGUAGCUCGUCUACCAAUUGCGCCAGUUUGGUCACUGCUGUUUUUCAUCAUGCUGCUCACUCUAGGCCUGGAUUCGCAGUUUGUUCUCAUGGAGACUGUCACUACGGCAAUACUCGAUGGUGUCCCCACGUUGAGAAGCUACAAGGUCUGGGUUGUCCUGGGAGCCGCGGUAGUUGGUUACGCUGGUGGCAUCAUUUUUACCACCAACGCCGGCAUGUACUGGUUGCAGUUGAUGGACAAGUAUGCUGCCAACUGGUCCGUCCUGUUAAUCGCCAUAAUUGAAUGUACUCUUGUUGCGUGGAUAUAUGGAGCAGAUCGCUUUCUGGAUGACGCUCAGCAGAUGAUCGGCUCCCGAGGUCGUGUUUGGAGAUUUUUCUGGACGUGGAUGUGGAAGGUUGUCACGCCGACUGCCCUGUUCUUCAUCCUCUGCUUCAAUUGGGUGCAGUAUGAGCCGCUAAAGUACGGGGCUUACAUUUAUCCGGAAUGGGCGAAUGCAUUAAGCUGGGUCAUCAGCAUGCUUCCCGUUUGGGUGAUAAUUGGAUUAGCCAUAGAUCAGCUGAAAGUACGACGUCGACGAUCUACCUAUGAUGAUGACGAUGAUGAUGAUGACGACGACGAUGAAUUUGACAACAGCGAGAACUGUCACAAAACGGAAAAAGAAAAGAGCAAGGGUAUGAAGGGUAAAACUGUAUGGGACCGCGUAAAGAUAUUGUUGCAGCCAACAUCCGAUUGGGGCCCGGCAUCACAAAAUUCUUUGACACCAUCAAAAGCUCUGACUCACACGCCUUCACUAGGAGCUAUUGGAACGUAUGACUCGGUACGAGAUACGAUGAUUCUGGUGAACGAUCAGCCCAUGUUGGUGCAACCACCUAGCGCUGAAAAACUCCCCGGACCAUCGAUUCUUAAAAAUUCUAGUAAAACCGAGUUGAUUAGCUCGUAACAGGUGUGACACGACGUUCGUUUUGAAUUCAACGACGAAUCUUUUGAGAAACCAUGCCAAAGAUACAGUACGUUCAAUAUAAAAUGAAAUGGGCAGUGUAAAAAGGAAGAAUUCGACAUAUAUCAUCCCUUGCAGUAGGUGUAUUUGAAAGUUUUCAACAUGUAUCUCUUUUUGAUGUUGAUAAUGCAAAGACUUUCAGGGAAUAGAUUAGAUAUUUUGAAUAUGCAAAGAGAAGGAAGAAUAAUAAUGAAAAAACUAAACAGGAAAAAUUAGCAGACGUAUUAGAACUAGCAAAUUCGCGGAAGAAGUACCAGAGUAGCGAUGAAUGGCGAGGAAAAGUCACGAUUAUUUUUAUGCGAAAUAGUUCUGAUAUAAUAAGUGAUAUGUAUUCUAGCGAAAGAUUGUACCUCAGCUUGUCACAAUUACUAUUAAAAACCUGCUGAUGCCUUGUCAAUUUUUUCAAAAAAGAAUUCGUACAAGUCGAAGAAUUUGUAAAAGUAACGAGAGUGGCCUUAGUUCUGGAAAAGUAUUGUACGAGAGUACAAGUUAUGCCAAUUACCCACAGCGUGUCUUGCUCGGAAUAGUCUUUAAUCCUUCAAUAGGAUUUAAUCUUUUACUGUACGAAAUGUCAUAGAUGACAGAAAGUAAUCUCACACUUCUAUCAGUGCUUCCACUGUGAUCGAGGUAUCCUCUUGCAUCAAAAUAUCGGGCAUGUUAAGAUUUCUACCUCAUUAUGUAGCAAAUUAUAGGCAGACUAACAUUUAUAAGUCGACAAUAGACAAUUAGCAAUCAAAAAUAACUCUCGGUUUGCAAUUAGAAUCAAAAGUAAUUUAAUUACAAAAUUAUAAAUAUAGAAAUUUCCGUAACAGAAAUAAAAAUAAACGAUUACAAAGCUAAAGGUAAAAUCUGAUCUCUAAUUUCAUCUAUUGCAAAUGAAUGUUCAUAACAUUGAAUACCGCUGUGAAUAGAUCUUAUAGAUCACAUGAAUUCGAACGAGAGAGCGAAGGAAAGAAUAUACUUUUUGUAAGCCAUAUUCUGAAAUCUUGGAAAUUGGAGCCAAUGUUAAUAUCAUGAAAGUGCCGUUAGAUUGCUUUUUCUUCGGUGGGUUUCCUACCAAGCCACAGUUAAAUGUUCAGUAAUUUUAAUGUUUCUAGAGACUAUACAAAAGAUUGUCUAUGUGGCAUGGCCUCUUACAUUGAUUAUAAAUCUAUUUAUACAUGUAGCUCGCCGUCGAAAAUAAUAAGUAACAUAAUGUUCGUUAAUGGUUCACAUACCGGUUAAGUCAAAUGAUUGAACUGUCCUUGAUAAUAAGUAGAAUUAAGAGAGCAGUGACAUGUUGUGAACGAUAACAACACAGCGGUAACGUAAUUAAAAAGAAAAUAUUUAAUAUAUUUUGUUACAAAAGUAUACAUCAUUUAUUCUUCAUAUUACAUUACGUUUAUUGCGCUUUCUGCACUGUGUAUCUAUAAUUGACGUUAAAAAUUAAAAUUGAGACAGAUUUGCACUACGUUGCAAUUUGUGUUACAAUUGUGUUGAAUGCAAGAAGCUAAUAAAAAGCUAAUCGUUAAUUACCGCGUGAUGUUACAGUUCUAGCGUCACUACGAGCAACCAAUAGAGCGAGUACAAAGUAAUGUGUCCUAGUGACACAAUAGAAGGAAAAGAAACUUUCUUUUUUGAAAGAAGUCACUUUUCUUUGUAACAAAAAGAUAAGUAGAACAAAAAGCUUCUACCUGAAGCAAUCAUAGGUUCAAAGAUGAAUCUCGGGCGGAAGGAAAUGCGCUUCUCUGGGCGUACAGAUGUUGAUUGAUUCAUGCAAUUAAUAUUAGAGUAAAUACUUUCUGUGUAAAAAAAUAAUUUUAUUAUAGUACCAAAGAAGUACUAAUGUUUUAAUGUAAAACAUUUUGAACAUACUGAAUGAUAUACAAUCAAAAUACAAUAAUGCCGUGAGCAAUUGUAGACGGAAUUAGGAGAGAGUUAUAUAAAUGCAAAUGAGAUCGAAAUUAUUAUAUCGUGCAGGUUUUGAAUAGACAAAUCAGAAUAUAUGUGUUACAUAUUGUUGUAUAGUCUUAAAUAGCCUCAUGGAAGUAGAAACGAGAAGGAUUGGAUCUGCGAAAGUUAUUAUUAAUAAUAAUAGUUCAAACUAUUAUAAGAAUGACAAUUACGUGUUAACGUGUGA
This 4890-nucleotide unclassified non-coding RNA is filed under the name Ooceraea biroi (clonal raider ant). Its description in RNAcentral is "sodium- and chloride-dependent glycine transporter 1, transcript variant X2". Lineage: Eukaryota; Metazoa; Arthropoda; Insecta; Hymenoptera; Formicidae. The record is from RNAcentral.